UGAAAUAUGUUGGGGUGAUGAGGAUU
RNAcentral lists this non-coding RNA (26 nucleotides) under Mus musculus (house mouse). The record is from RNAcentral. Lineage: Eukaryota; Metazoa; Chordata; Mammalia; Rodentia; Muridae.